Molecule: unclassified non-coding RNA, 19 nt
Filed under: Mus musculus (house mouse)
Lineage: Eukaryota; Metazoa; Chordata; Mammalia; Rodentia; Muridae
Description: oocyte_clustered_small_RNA11894
Source: RNAcentral
CGACGUAAAGCGAGGCCCC